GAUUGCCCAAGAUCACAAACUUGUAAAACCAGAAAACAGGUUUUGGAACCUGGCUUAUUUAUUCCCCAAACCCGUGUCCUUUCCACUUGACUGUCUUGAAUUUCUGAGGCAAAUCAGAGAGUGGACACAGACAUUCAAGGGGAUGCAGGCUUCUGAUGACAGUCCUCAGCUCUUCUCUAAGGAACCGGAGGGGACUCACAAUCAGCGAGGUCAUUUCGGGAGUUCCGACCCCUGGAGUCUGACUCUCUUGGUGUCCCACACCAUUCCCGCCCCUGGAAGUCUGGUCGGGAUGAGCUGUUAGUCUUUGCUUCUCAUCUCCAGCAGGUUGGAGCUCUCUGCCUGUCUAACCGAGGCGCUGGGCCUGUUGUCCUUCUGUGACCUUCGUCUGUGUUCCGCAUCAGCAUCGCCUUUUCCAUGAUGAUUCGGGGAGGCAGGAGGGCACGAUGGUGCGGGUGCCAAACUUGAGAUGGAAUCCUCUUUGAUAGGUCCAUGGUUCCCAAACUGCGCACCGCAGCACCCAGGGACACCAUGACAGAUUCACGGGGACACCAUGGAAUGAUUGCAGUCUCUGAGAGAAACCCAGCGAUAUCCAACUUCUGUUGACCAGCACAGGAACCAUUAGCUCAAGGUAGCUCACAGUUUCAAAAUGAGACUACACUACAUUUCUUUUCAUGACAUCAUAUCUUUGCAAAGGUGGUGUUUUGGUGAUUGCUGUGAUAAAAAGUCGGCACCUCCGGAAAGGCAGAGUGGGACGGGAAAUAAGGGGGGUGGUAUCCCGUCUGAUUCUAAGGCUUCAGAAGCUGUGGAGGGCCCACCACCUACACACAUCCUAUUGGGUUCAGCUAGACUACUCCGGUGUCCCCCAGGGGCAGGCUCCUUGCCAUAAGACAGAGAGCAGACUAGGAUAUAUGUGCUUUGCAGAUAAGUUGGCUCAAAAAAAGGCAAGAGAAAAAGAGUCUGAAGUGGGGAAGCCCAGUUUCAUUCAGCCCACGGGCCAUACAAAAACAGGUGACAGGCCAGAUUUGAUCCUCUGGCUCCAGUUUGCCAACCACUAUGACAGAUGCUCGAUGUUUCCACCCAUUUAAGCUGAAGGUAAUGACAAGCCGGUAGAAGUAACCUACAGGGUCACAGUCUAUUAUGAGGAACUCUUCUAUGGAAACAAACAUUAUCACAUAGAGAUGACGGUGACUGCAUUCAGAUUGUAUACCAAGUGUCCAUGGUGGGAGGGAGGUGUCGAUCCUCGUCUGGUGAGCAAAGUGGAACGUUCACAGCAGACUCACCCCAACACCGUCCCGUUUAACAGUUACAUUUGCAAGAGGACUCGAUGGAAAUUCACUUUGAGGAACAGUUUCUAACGCAGAUGGGGUAGUAGCAUCAUUCAUCAGAAUGUGCUGUCGUCAACUGAUGGUUUGUAUGGACGGUGAAAUGGAUGGAUCUACUUCAAUUUUCACCCACUAUAAAUUUUUUCAUAAUAAAAGGUGGAGAGAGAAAUUAUGGAUCCUGGGAGUGACAGAAGAAGUUUGCUCAGCUUUGCUUCUAGGGGCCUCAGUGGCUGGGCCUUAAAGAUGCAGGAACUAGGACUACUUAUUUUUAAGAAGACCAUUUCUAUAACACUUAUUUGCAAGGAGAAGACCCCCUGCAGGUAUCAACAGGGCCCCUGCAGCUUUUGUAGAUUUUGCUUCGCCUUUUCUAAUGUCCCUGAGUGGAGUCCUGAAUCAAAAGCAUAUGUUACAGUGAGGAUGCCUGAGCCCUGCCCCAGAGCUACGACCGAAUCAGAAGGUUUGGGUCGGCCCCAGGAGUCUGACUUUUCAGCAGGUGAUGAUCAUGCUCAUGAGGAGCCUAUGGUUUACGUAAGGCUUCUAUUGCCCCAGAAUAAACUGUCCUUCGGGCCCAGGGCUUUGCUUCCUGGUCAUAUUCGGGGCCAUGGAACUCUCUCAAGGCGAGAAGCCAAGGCUAGAAGAUGGACUGGUCACUCCGUGCACCUUCCCCUUGGGGGUCGGGGGGGUCCCGUCAUUGCGGGGGGUGGCACUGCUAUGGGUUCCCCUAACUCGGCCACACUGUCUCCCUCCCUUCCUGUUGCCUGUGAAGGCCCCGCCCACUACCCACUGUCUCAGGUCACAGUCUCCCCUGCCCUUCAAUAAACUCCAGGUUUCCCAGAUGUCAGACAGUUGAGCAGCUUCUGCUCAGCCCUGCAAAAGCCACCGAGGCAAGAACAUACCAGGAGCCUGGCUAACUUCUAGGAACAAAGCAGGGAGAAAACCCAGAGGACAGAACACAAAGUAACGCUCCAUAAAUCAUCCUGCCGCAUGCCGAAAGCCACAGGAUAUUUCCUUUUCUGAACAAGAAACAAGGCCUCCUAAAAGCGUCAUAAAGCUGACCAUGAUUACAGAGUCAGUGAACGUCAUCAGCAUCGGCUGAGCCUCAUAUGUAGCCAGGCGCUUCAUGCUCCGAGGGGUUACAUCGCCUCUACUGCAUCAACAUGGCUAACAGACUUCAGAGCUGAGGUUCAAAACUGUGGUGGGUUUGCCUCCAUCAUAUGAAGGAGACAGAAGAGAAGAAGAGAUACGCUCCCCCCUACCCCGGAGAGCCAGGAAGUCUCCCGCGUCUCCUGCCUCUGUUCUUCCUGGGAGUCUUCAGCAGCUUGGAGGGCAGCUUCACAUCCUAUGCUUCUGAUCUGUGGGGCAGAAAGGUCGGGGCGUGGGGAAGGGAGGCUUGUUGGGAGAAAAUCCACUUUCUACGUGUGGCACGUGCUCUAACCCCAAGCGUUCACCAGCACAGACCUGAAGGAAGGACAUACACAUUUCUCUGGGUCUAUAAGGAACAGCAAACAGACCAGGCAUGGAUUAAAACUUGCUGCCUUCUUUUAGUAGAUGUCGCUCCUCUCAUUGCCCGUCAAUCAUUGUGUGACUUUGUCUCAACAUCAUCAUCAGUCAAUUGUUUACCUACCAAAUGCUCUUAUAGGCAGGCCUCACAUUUUUCAGUGUAAAUAAUAAUACCUGUGAAACUUACAUCAUCAAUUUUAUCUCAAAAUAAUUUAGUUAACGCUUGGUAAUUAUUUUAACUUAGAUGAAAGGGGCUAUACAUCUUUUAUUUUCCUCUUCUGAGAUAGACACAGAAAUGGAGAGAUGUAGAGUUGAAGGACGGAGAUCUUGCAAGAUGACUUUCCUUUACAACAUUGAACACAACUGCUAAACAUGAUGUGAGCAUCUUAAAAAGAGCCAAAGUAAUUGUUGUAGAGGUUCAAAAAUAUAUUGUUCAGUGAUGUGCCUUCAGUCUGCCUGUGACCUUUGUGCUGUGGCCUAAGGUCAGCAAGUAGAGAAGGGCUGAGAAAAAAGGUCUAAUGAAGCUCUCUUGUUGGAAGGAAGAGGAAGGGUUUAAAACAGAUUUAAAUAUCUUCAGAGGCAGGGCAGAGAAAG
Molecule: long non-coding RNA, 3416 nt
Filed under: Equus caballus (horse)
Lineage: Eukaryota; Metazoa; Chordata; Mammalia; Perissodactyla; Equidae
Description: lncRNA (ENSECAG00000050095.1)
Source: RNAcentral